UCAUUCUCAUCAUCUUUUGCCGAAAGUUUAAAGAAAAAGAAGCCAUUGAAGCUUCAAAGUAUUCGGCCAUUGCAUGUUAAAUUGCUCAAGAGCAUAAGGAGCCAAUUUUGGAUAAAGGGAAAGCAAAACUAGUCGAUUAGUCAAUCCGUAGUUAUUCGAUUAAAUCCAAGGGUUGCCAGGUUAGUUCGGGUUGGAGGCCGUCAGAGAUAUCAUCACAUUGUCGAGUCUACGCUAUCGGCGUAAGUAAAUCUUAGUGUUUCGAGUCUAUGGCAUUUAUAGGGUUGUAAAGUUGAGUAUGUAAUAUUAUGAUUAAGCCAAAGACUUUGGCUUGUUAUUAAGGUAGUUUGAUUAUUCAUAUGCUUGUAUGUUAUUAUCUCCUGUGAUGUGAUUUAUAGCAUGUAUAUUUAGAAUUUGAAUUGUGAUUUAUUGUUGAGUAAGUAAAUGAUACAAGACUAAGAUAUUGGUAAAUA
This is a long non-coding RNA of Gossypium arboreum, 470 nucleotides long. RefSeq lists it as uncharacterized. The record is from RefSeq and is a predicted model, not a curated record. NCBI's taxonomy places the organism in Eukaryota, Viridiplantae, Streptophyta, Magnoliopsida, Malvales, Malvaceae. The transcript is spliced from 3 exons.